CAACCCUCAAGCUCAGCUUGGUGUUGGGUGUCACCUGGCAAUGGUGCACCUUAAAAUCAGUGGCAGUGCCAUCUGCCUUCAAGUGUAGUAAAACUCUCGCUUUGGAGGUUUGGAUAUGUGCUUGCCAUCAACCACUAAUAUCAAAA
This 146-nucleotide unclassified non-coding RNA is filed under the name uncultured Helotiales. Its description in RNAcentral is "sequence contains ITS2". Lineage: Eukaryota; Fungi; Ascomycota; Leotiomycetes; Helotiales. The record is from RNAcentral.